RNAcentral lists this ribosomal RNA (592 nucleotides) under uncultured bacterium. RNAcentral's name for it is "bacterial SSU rRNA". The stretch from base 1 to 522 matches the Rfam family "Bacterial small subunit ribosomal RNA", at positions 338 to 873 of the family's 1533-position model. The record is from RNAcentral.
CCUCCGGGAGGCAGCAGUGGGGAAUCUUGCGCAAUGGGCGAAAGCCUGACGCAGCAACGCCGCGUGAGGGACGAAGGUUUUCUGAAUUGUAAACCUCUUUCAGCAGGGAAGAUAAUGACGGUACCUGCAGAAGAAGCACCGGCUAACUACGUGCCAGCAGCCGCGGUGAUACGUAGGGUGCAAGCGUUGUCCGGAUUUAUUGGGCGUAAAGAGCUCGUAGGCGGUUUGGUAAGUCGGUUGUGAAAUCCCCAGGCUCAACCUGGGGCCUGCAUUCGAUACUGCCAUGACUAGAGUUUGGUAGGGGACCACGGAAUUCCUGGUGUAGCGGUGGAAUGCGCAGAUAUCAGGAGGAACACCAGUAGCGAAGGCGGUGGUCUGGGCCAAUACUGACGCUGAGGAGCGAAAGCGUGGGGAGCAAACAGGAUUAGAUACCCUGGUAGUCCACGCCGUAAACGGUGGGCACUAGGUGUGGGGACUAUUCAACGGUUUCCGCGCCGACGCUAACGCAUUAAGUGCCCCGCCUGGGGNGUACGCGCAGACGUAACUAAGUAGUAGUAGCGNGNGAGAGCGACGACGACGACGACGAGGAGAG